This is a long non-coding RNA of Dreissena polymorpha, 1394 nucleotides long. RefSeq lists it as uncharacterized. The transcript has 2 exons. Lineage: Eukaryota; Metazoa; Mollusca; Bivalvia; Myida; Dreissenidae. The record is from RefSeq and is a predicted model, not a curated record.
GUACAGAGGUCAAAUAUAAUUAGAUCACAUUGUACAGAAGUCAAAUAUAAUUAGAUCACGUUGUACAGAAGUCAAAUAUAAUUAGAUCACGUUGUACAGAGGUCAAAUAUAAUUAGAUCACGUUGUACAGAGGUCAAAUAUAAUUAGAUCACAUUGUACAGAGGUCAAAUAUAAUUAGAUCACGUUGUACAGAGGUCAAAUAUAAUUAGAUCACGUUGUACAGAGGUCAAAUAUAAUUAGAUCACGUUUAAGCAAAUGUAAACUCAAGCUUAUUGUGAUACAAACUGUGUCAAAACACAAUAUAUAAUAUAACCAGUUUGAUAUAAAAAUCUUGUGAAGCAUGGACAUCAGUUAAAACAAGUAAUUGCAAGAAAAACCGGAGAACUUUCGCUCAUAAUUUCUGAUUUUAAAUUACAUUCAAUACCCUUUUACCUGAUUUAUGCAAGAUUUCAAUCAUGAGCAGCUAUAUGAAGGUCAUUUUCAUGUUUAUGACCCCGCUUAGUGGCAGGCAUUUAGCAUUGCAAUCGUCUUUGAGACCAUGUUUCGAAACUUAAUUUCAAAUCAUCAAACUACUGGCUAAAACUUUCACAGUGGAAUAACCGUAAUGUUUAGAUGAUUUUAAAGAAAGGAAUUUUGUCUGGGUUUUGGCAAAUCAUGGCUCUAUGUCUGGUUUUCCACUAUAAAAUAAUAUUGUCCACUGGUGAAUUUGUCUGUUUCCAAAUCUAUUCAGAGAUUCAGUGUCUACGACAAUUUGUAGUUCUUUCUUUUUUGACCAUUGACAACAGAUGAACAACUUUUUCUCUUUAAUGGUUACCAAGUUUCAUGAUUUAAACAAGUGUACACGAUAUUAACAAAAAUGCAUAACAGAUAAAACAUUUCAAACAAAUAAAUUCAUUGAAUUGAUAUCCCCUUCCAAAUAAAGUUUGUUUAUGGAUAUAAAUUUGAUAUAUAGUAUAAUCCUAAACAAUAUUUAGGGUAAUGAUUUUAUGAUUGAAAUUCUCCUCAUUGAUAUCUAUACACCCAUGCAGUUUUAUACUGAAACUUGAAGCAUAUCCAAGAUAUAGCUCUGAAAAGUUACACAAUACAAACGCAACAAAGGACAAUAUUUCUUAUUUAAGAUAGUGAAAGGUUAUUGUUCUUGUGCAUGGUACUUCUCAUUAAUAUAAAUACACCAAUGAAGUUUCAUGUUGAAAUCGUGUUAUGUAUCUGAGAUAUAGCCCUUAACAGUUAAUUAAUAUACAAAAAAACAAAGGGCAAUAACUCUUAAUUAAAGGGUUGGUGUAUGGUUUAUUAGCAUGGUACUUCUCCUCACUAAUAUCAAUACAUCCAACAUAUGCAAAGGGAACACUAAGAGUUAACAUUGAUUGCCAUAUCUUCAUGAAAAUGAAUCGGAA